AGUGAACGCUGGCGGUAGGCCUAACACAUGCAAGUCGAACGGCAGCACAGUAAGAGCUUGCUCUUACGGGUGGCGAGUGGCGGACGGGUGAGGAAUACAUCGGAAUCUACUUUUUCGUGGGGGAUAACGUAGGGAAACUUACGCUAAUACCGCAUACGACCUACGGGUGAAAUCAGGGGAUAUUCGGACCUUGCGCGAUUGAAUGAGCCGAUGUCGGAUUAGCUAGUUGGCGGGGUAAAGGCCCACCAAGGCGACGAUCCGUAGCUGGUCUGAGAGGAUGAUCAGCCACACUGGAACUGAGACACGGUCCAGACUCCUACGGGAGGCAGCAGUGGGGAAUAUUGGACAAUGGGCGCAAGCCUGAUCCAGCCAUACCGCGUGGGUGAAGAAGGCCUUCGGGUUGUAAAGCCCUUUUGUUGGGAAAGAAAAGCAGCAGGUUAAUACCCCGCUGUUCUGACGGUACCCAAAGAAUAAGCACCGGCUAACUUCGUG
Molecule: ribosomal RNA, 492 nt
Filed under: uncultured bacterium
Lineage: Bacteria
Description: partial 16S ribosomal RNA
Rfam family: Bacterial small subunit ribosomal RNA
Source: RNAcentral